CCUACGGGCGGCAGCAGUGGGGAAUAUUGCACAAUGGGCGCAAGCCUGAUGCAGCCAUGCCGCGUGUGUGAAGAAGGCCUUCGGGUUGUAAAGCACUUUCAGCGGGGAGGAAGGCGGUGAGGUUAAUAACCUCAUCGAUUGACGUUACCCGCAGAAGAAGCACCGGCUAACUCCGUGCCAGCAGCCGCGGUAAUACGGAGGGUGCAAGCGUUAAUCGGAAUUACUGGGCGUAAAGCGCACGCAGGCGGUCUGUCAAGUCGGAUGUGAAAUCCCCGGGCUCAACCUGGGAACUGCAUUCGAACUGGCAGGCUAGGGGCUUGGAGGGGGGGGUAGAAUUCCAGGUGUAGCGGUGAAAAGCGUAGGGGUCUGGGGGAAUACCGGUGGCGGAGGCGGCCCCCUGGACAAAGACUGACGCUCAAGUGCGGAAGCGUGGGGAGCAAACCGGGUUAGAUACCCUAGUAGUC
This 464-nucleotide ribosomal RNA is filed under the name uncultured Klebsiella sp. Its description in RNAcentral is "bacterial SSU rRNA". It matches the Rfam family "Bacterial small subunit ribosomal RNA", at positions 338 to 795 of the family's 1533-position model. Lineage: Bacteria; Pseudomonadati; Pseudomonadota; Gammaproteobacteria; Enterobacterales; Enterobacteriaceae. The record is from RNAcentral.